GCAACCCUAGGUGAGGCGUGAUUACCCGCUGAAUUUAAGCAUA
Molecule: ribosomal RNA, 43 nt
Filed under: Begonia nantoensis
Lineage: Eukaryota; Viridiplantae; Streptophyta; Magnoliopsida; Cucurbitales; Begoniaceae
Description: partial 28S ribosomal RNA
Source: RNAcentral